Molecule: long non-coding RNA, 134 nt
Organism: Thalassophryne amazonica
Lineage: Eukaryota; Metazoa; Chordata; Actinopteri; Batrachoidiformes; Batrachoididae
Exons: 3
Source: RefSeq, a predicted model, not a curated record
CAAUUUACGUCACAGAUUGUUUAAUACCUUCUUCACAUAUGUGACACAAAUAACCCAGAUCCUCUAAUUUUACCACAGAUUAUUAAAUGCCCCAGACACACACAGAUCGGAGGUAUUACUUUGAAAAAAAUUAU